Molecule: long non-coding RNA, 3068 nt
Organism: Heterocephalus glaber (naked mole-rat)
Lineage: Eukaryota; Metazoa; Chordata; Mammalia; Rodentia; Bathyergidae
Source: Ensembl
GAAACAGGAGACUCAACAUGAGUUUUGGUGGGACAAACCAUAGCAAUAUGUAAAGAAGCUGUACAAGAAUUUAUAAGAAGUUGAAAGAGGCAGAUUCCCUCAGGGAGAAGAGAUAUUCAAUGUAUGAGACAAAUGAGGGAGAAUUGUUCCAGGAUGCAUUUGAGUUACUGUUUUUUACAACAUGGGCACAUAUUACCAAACAAUUGGAUAAAUAUAUGUUAAAAUUUAAAAAGAAAGUCCUUCAGGGGGAAAAAAUGUGGGAAGAAUGGAUAAAACAGCCUUGACCUGGUUUUCUCAUAACUAACAACACAUUACAUUAUCUGGUUUCUCACGGUUACCAGUGGACUAAAUAUAGGCAUAGCACUGACGGUGGCUGUUAGAAUUGUGAUCUGUGGCCACAGAGCAGAGCAGCAAACUGGUCCCCAGGAAGCUGAACUAACAGCCAUGGCCUCAUUCAUACAAUAAUGAGCAAACAUUACCCAGAAGGGUUUCCAUGCCUAAAGUCUAAAGGGGAGACCUGUGGUAGAAGCUCUCUCAGUUGAGAAGCACAACCCUAAGUAUAUGGUUUCCUCCUUCCCUAGUAAGGCUCUUGAUGCUGUGUCCUUGAAGAGAACGUCCCUCCUGAGCAAAUCCAUGUCUGUCUUCCAGCUUGGAAAAUCAGACAGUGAUGAAAACCUCAUUGUUGACGGUCCAUUCUUAUGGCUAUUUUGGAGAGUUUGCCCUUGUCUUGAAACAUUUCUAAAGUUGUCUUUUGACAUUUUCCCUCUUAUCUCUUAUAAUAACUGUGGCCAUUGUCUCUCUUUGCUGAAAGAGCACUUUUCUCCAGAUAUAAAGUUCCCCCUGAACAUUAGAUUUCUCUUUCUGACUUCGGUUGUUAUUAGCCCUGCAACAGUAGCAAAAUUAGGCCCAGACAUGAACCAGGCCUGCAAUCUAACAAAAUGCUAAGUAGUCUCAUGUGCACAUUUAACUUUCCCACUAUGUGCUGGACCAAAGAUCUGUCUUUACAUGCAGUUCUCAUGUGCAGGCAGCUGGCAUUUUGGGAAUGAGUGUGAUACGUAUGAAAGACGGAGGUCCGCAGCAUGAGGAAGAAGGAAACUCUUUAUGGCAUCUCCUUGGCAAAUUUGAAUUUCCAGAAUCACCACUUUUGUAAGUAAAAUAAGGGUUACUUAAACACAAGCACUGCAAUGCUGUGAUGGUUGGUUUGACAACUAAGGUGGCUUUUAAGUAACUACUGGGCAAAUAGCAGGUACAGAGUGGAUAUACUGCACAAAGGGAUGAGUCACAUUCGAGGUGGGACAGAGUAAGACUGUGUGAGAUUUCACCUUGCUGCUCAGUGUAGCAUGCAACUUAAUAUUCAUAAAUUAUUUAUUUGUGGAAUUUGCCACAAAGUAUUUUCAGAUCAUGGUUGACCACAUGUAACUGAAACCUGAGAAAAUGAAGCUGUGGGUGAGGGAGGAAUAGAAUUGCUAAGCUGUAUGAGAACAUAUGUUCAUCUUUUACUAGACACUGCUAAAUACUUUUCAAAGUGGUGGUAGCAAUACUUUAUUGCUUGCCUACUGGACAUGUAUGAGAGCUCUAAUUGCAUAAUAUCCUUUCCAACACAUACUUUCAUCUGUCUCUUUCAUUUCAGCUUUUCUGGUAGGUACACAUUAGUAUCAUAUUGUAGUUUUAAUUUUAAUUUCUCUGAUAACUAAUAAAGCUGAACACUGUGUGUGUGUGUGUGUGUGUGUGUGUGUGUGUGUACAUGUGCUUGUGGUAUGUGUGUUUUGUUUUUAAUGUGGUAUUGGGAUUGAAUCCAAAGCCUUUGCACUGAGCUAUAUGUUCAGCCCUCCCCUACCCUUUUUAAAAUUUUGAAACAGGGAUUGCCUAAGUCACUAAGUUGCCCAAGCCAGGCUUGAAUUUGUGAUCCUCCUGCCUGAGCCUCUCAGAGUGCUGGGAUUACAAGCGUGUGCCACCACAUCCAGCUUCUUUUCACACUUACUGGGCAUUUCUCAUAAAGACUGCUUAAGUCUUCAGCAAUUACCCUAUUGGGUUGUCUAGGCAAAGACCUCUUUAUGGUAUGAUGUUACAGAGUAAUAUUUAUUAGCAUGUCAGGUUGUUCGUGACAGGGUAAGAGGAAAAUAAAUGUUAUAAUGGAGCUAGUGUAGCACAAUCAUAUUUCCAUUUUUAAUCAUUUAAACAUGAAGGAUAGUGUACUAAUAUAAGAGCAAUACGUUUCUCUGAGAAAACAAUGAAUAAUUUUAAUUUCCUACUUUCUAGCUCUUCUUAUUUGUUUUUGUCUAAGUUUGUUUUAAUAACAAGCAUGGAUUACUUUUAUAACCUGGAAAAACAAUGAAGCUGGUUUCAUUAAGAAACAAACAAUUGCGACUCAAAAUGCAACCAAACUUUAUCAGCAUGCGUUGGCUUGGCUCAGCCAUCAGCCUCUUUCCAUCUGGAACACUGAGGGACACUGAGGAAAAGUGUCCUCUCUGGGCAUAGUUUGAAAGUUUGAGUUAGGAGAAGAGGGCGUGAAAAUGAAGAAUCACUUUCACUGCACAACAACCAUGUGCUUGUUCUCACCCGCAGAGCUGGGAGAUGAUCAGAGCCAUAAAGACUGGCUAAUUACUUCAAUUGCUCCUUCUCUGUAGAAGCAGACUUUCCCAUGCCAUCCGCUGGGCUUAUUUGGUUUGAUUACUGGAGUCCUGCUGUUAUCUGAAAUGAGUAGAGCACAUUAUUACUGUGAGCAAGUGUAAUGUUCCUGUUUACGUUUUGCAAGGCAAACGGGGUGACUUCCAGUUUUAAUAACCAGAGUCCUACAAGUCACACGUAACACUGCCCUCUCUCUUCCAUUUUGGGUUCUACUUGGUCCUACUAACCCAUAAGCCAAAAACAAACGUCAAACCAUCACACCCACCAACAUACUGAUUCUGAGGAAAUGUGAAACAAGUUUCCAGUACAAUCCAAAGAACUCUUUUCCCCUGAAGCACUUGAGUGUUAAGUUGAACACAUGAUUUUCCAUCAUUUCAAAUACUUCACUAUUUUCUAUAAAGAAGGCCAUUCUUUUACAUAAUCAGAAUAUAACCAUCAGC